This 407-nucleotide ribosomal RNA is filed under the name uncultured Anaerolineae bacterium. RNAcentral's name for it is "bacterial SSU rRNA". It matches the Rfam family "Bacterial small subunit ribosomal RNA", at positions 355 to 776 of the family's 1533-position model. Lineage: Bacteria; Bacillati; Chloroflexota; Anaerolineae. The record is from RNAcentral.
UGAGGAAUAUUGCACAAUGGGCGAAAGCCUGAUGCAGCAACGCCGCGUGAGGGACGAAGGCCUUCGGGUUGUAAACCUCUUUUCUGGGGGAAGAGAUCAAGGACGGUACCUCAGGAAUAAGUCUCGGCUAACUACGUGCCAGCAGCCGCGGUAAAACGUAGGAGGCGAGCGUUAUCCGGAUUUACUGGGCGUAAAGCGCGCGCAGGCGGUUCCGUUAGUCGGACGUGAAAGCUCCUGGCUUAACUGGGAGAGGCCGUUCGAUACUGCGGGACUUGAGGUUGGGAGAGGAGUGUGGAAUUCCCGGUGUAGUGGUGGAAUGCGUAGAGAUCGGGAGGAACACCUGUGGCGAAAGCGGCACUCUGGCCCACACCUGACGCUGAGGUGCGAAAGCGUGGGUAGCAAACAGG